AAUGAGUUCAAAUAAGGGUAAACAACAUUUAAAGGAACACUCCAAAACUACCACAGCGCGUUGCAGUGGUUAUGGUGCCAUGACCCACGCUAUAUUAAAUAAUAAGCACACGUUCUAUACGUGACUGAACCCCAUUAGUCAGGGAGGUAUGGUUUCUAAAUGUUACUGCAGUCUCCAGGUCCGGACUGGGGAUACAAAGCGGCCCUGG
Molecule: non-coding RNA, 208 nt
Organism: Pelobates cultripes (western spadefoot toad)
Lineage: Eukaryota; Metazoa; Chordata; Amphibia; Anura; Pelobatidae
Source: the annotation of a GenBank genome assembly